AUGACUUUUGAGAUGUUACUCAGAUGGGUUAGUCGAAACUAAUUAAACCUAAAAAAAGCAGUUAAAUACCUAUUUAAAUUAUAAUAAAUUAUAAAUUAAAGAAUAACUACACUAACUAUUCAAAUAAAUGAAUAAUCAAAUCAAUUUCUUUCAUUUAUUAUUUUAAUCACUCCCUCCAGAUAACUGAUUUUGCCUUUUAUUAAAUUUUUUUACCUUUGAGGUGGAGAGAGGACCAUAGGCCAUCCAUACUACUAAGCCCUACCUAACUUAGGCAGUAAGUAGUCAAUAAAUAAAUAAAUAGAAAGAGAUAAAUAGAUAAUAAACCAAUAUUUUAUUAUUUAUAAUGUUUUACCUUUUUUAAAGAUAGACUUCGCGGCGCUUUCCCCCAAGCUGAACUUCUCCCCAGCGACAGACGGUU
This 418-nucleotide ribosomal RNA is filed under the name Hebeloma syrjense. RNAcentral describes it as "partial small subunit ribosomal RNA". The record is from RNAcentral. Lineage: Eukaryota; Fungi; Basidiomycota; Agaricomycetes; Agaricales; Hymenogastraceae.